UACGUAGGUGGCAAGCGUUAUCCGGAUUUAUUGGGCGUAAAGAGAACGCAGGCGGUCUUUUAAGUCUGAUGUGAAAGCCUUCGGCUUAACCGGAGUAGUGCAUUGGAAACUGGGAGACUUGAGUGCAGAAGAGGAGAGUGGAACUCCAUGUGUAGCGGUGAAAUGCGUAGAUAUAUGGAAGAACACCAGUGGCGAAAGUGGCUCUCUGGUCUGUAACUGACGCUGAGGUUCGAAAGCGUGGGUAGCAAAUAGG
Molecule: ribosomal RNA, 253 nt
Filed under: uncultured bacterium
Lineage: Bacteria
Description: partial 16S ribosomal RNA
Rfam family: Bacterial small subunit ribosomal RNA
Source: RNAcentral